UGCGUAGGCGGCUUUUUAAGUCGGAUGUGAAAUCCCUGAUCUUAACUUAGGAAUUGCAUUCGAUACUGGAAAGCUAGAGUAUGGGAGAGGAUGGUAGAAUUCCAGGUGUAGCGGUGAAAUGCGUAGAGAUCUGGAGGAAUACCGAUGGCGAAGGCAGCCAUCUGGCCUAACACUGACGCUGAGGUGCGAAAGCAUGGGGAGCAAACAGGAUUAGAUACCCCAGUA
RNAcentral lists this ribosomal RNA (225 nucleotides) under uncultured Acinetobacter sp. Its description in RNAcentral is "partial 16S ribosomal RNA". It matches the Rfam family "Bacterial small subunit ribosomal RNA", at positions 568 to 792 of the family's 1533-position model. Lineage: Bacteria; Pseudomonadati; Pseudomonadota; Gammaproteobacteria; Moraxellales; Moraxellaceae. The record is from RNAcentral.